Molecule: ribosomal RNA, 422 nt
Filed under: Verrucomicrobiota bacterium
Lineage: Bacteria; Pseudomonadati; Verrucomicrobiota
Description: Verrucomicrobia bacterium partial 16S ribosomal RNA
Rfam family: Bacterial small subunit ribosomal RNA
Source: RNAcentral
UGGGGAAUAUUGCACAAUGGGCGAAAGCCUGAUGCAGCGACGCCGCGUGAGGGAUGGAGGCCUUCGGGUUGUAAACCUCUUUCAGUAAGGGUGAAGGCUCUCUUUUGUGGAGGGUUGACAGUACUUGCAGAAGAAGCGCCGGCUAACUACGUGCCAGCAGCCGCGGUAAUACGUAGGGCGCGAGCGUUGUCCGGAAUUAUUGGGCGUAAAGGGCUUGUAGGUGGCGUGUCGCGUCUGCUGUGAAAUUCCAGGGCUUAACUUUGGGAUUGCAGUGGGUACGGGCAUGCUAGAGUGCAGUAGGAGAGAUUGGAAUUCCUGGUGUAGCGGUGAAAUGCGCAGAUAUCAGGAGGAACACCGGUGGCGAAGGCGGGUCUCUGGGCUGUUACUGACGCUGAGGAGCGAAAGCGUGGGGAGCGAACAGG